AUUGAACGCUGGCGGAAUGCUUUACACAUGCAAGUCGAACGGCAGCACGGGAGCUUGCUCCUGGUGGCGAGUGGCGAACGGGUGAGUAAUGCGUCGGAACGUACCGAGUAAUGGGGGAUAACGCACCGAAAGGUGUGCUAAUACCGCAUACGCCCUGAGGGGGAAAGUGGGGGAUCGCAAGACCUCACGUUAUUCGAGCGGCCCGCGUCGGAUUAGCUAGUUGGUGGGGUAAUGGCUCACCAAGGCGACGAUCCGUAGCUGGUCUGAGAGGAUGACCAGCCACACUGGGACUGAGACACGGCCCAGACUCCUACGGGAGGCUG
Molecule: ribosomal RNA, 323 nt
Filed under: uncultured Pseudomonadota bacterium
Lineage: Bacteria; Pseudomonadati; Pseudomonadota
Description: bacterial SSU rRNA
Rfam family: Bacterial small subunit ribosomal RNA
Source: RNAcentral